RNAcentral lists this ribosomal RNA (1506 nucleotides) under metagenome. Its description in RNAcentral is "bacterial SSU rRNA". It matches the Rfam family "Bacterial small subunit ribosomal RNA". The record is from RNAcentral.
AGAGCUUGAUCCUGGCUCAGGACGAACGCUGGCGGCGUGCCUAAUACAUGCAAGUAGAACGCUGAAGAGAGGAGCUUGCUCUUCUUGGAUGAGUUGCGAACGGGUGAGUAACGCGUAGGUAACCUGCCUUGUAGCGGGGGAUAACUAUUGGAAACGAUAGCUAAUACCGCAUAACAAUGGAUGACACAUGUCAUUUAUUUGAAAGGGGCAAUUGCUCCACUACAAGAUGGACCUGCGUUGUAUUAGCUAGUAGGUGAGGUAAUGGCUCACCUAGGCGACGAUACAUAGCCGACCUGAGAGGGUGAUCGGCCACACUGGGACUGAGACACGGCCCAGACUCCUACGGGAGGCAGCAGUAGGGAAUCUUCGGCAAUGGGGGCAACCCUGACCGAGCAACGCCGCGUGAGUGAAGAAGGUUUUCGGAUCGUAAAGCUCUGUUGUAAGUCAAGAACGGGUGUGAGAGUGGAAAGUUCACACUGUGACGGUAGCUUACCAGAAAGGGACGGCUAACUACGUGCCAGCAGCCGCGGUAAUACGUAGGUCCCGAGCGUUGUCCGGAUUUAUUGGGCGUAAAGCGAGCGCAGGCGGUUUGAUAAGUCUGAAGUUAAAGGCUGUGGCUCAACCAUAGUUCGCUUUGGAAACUGUCAAACUUGAGUGCAGAAGGGGAGAGUGGAAUUCCAUGUGUAGCGGUGAAAUGCGUAGAUAUAUGGAGGAACACCGGUGGCGAAAGCGGCUCUCUGGUCUGUAACUGACGCUGAGGCUCGAAAGCGUGGGGAGCGAACAGGAUUAGAUACCCUGGUAGUCCACGCCGUAAACGAUGAGUGCUAGGUGUUGGAUCCUUUCCGGGAUUCAGUGCCGCAGCUAACGCAUUAAGCACUCCGCCUGGGGAGUACGACCGCAAGGUUGAAACUCAAAGGAAUUGACGGGGGCCCGCACAAGCGGUGGAGCAUGUGGUUUAAUUCGAAGCAACGCGAAGAACCUUACCAGGUCUUGACAUCCCGAUGCUAUUUCUAGAGAUAGAAAGUUACUUCGGUACAUCGGUGACAGGUGGUGCAUGGUUGUCGUCAGCUCGUGUCGUGAGAUGUUGGGUUAAGUCCCGCAACGAGCGCAACCCCUAUUGUUAGUUGCCAUCAUUCAGUUGGGCACUCUAGCGAGACUGCCGGUAAUAAACCGGAGGAAGGUGGGGAUGACGUCAAAUCAUCAUGCCCCUUAUGACCUGGGCUACACACGUGCUACAAUGGUUGGUACAACGAGUUGCGAGUCGGUGACGGCGAGCUAAUCUCUUAAAGCCAAUCUCAGUUCGGAUUGUAGGCUGCAACUCGCCUACAUGAAGUCGGAAUCGCUAGUAAUCGCGGAUCAGCACGCCGCGGUGAAUACGUUCCCGGGCCUUGUACACACCGCCCGUCACACCACGAGAGUUUGUAACACCCGAAGUCGGUGAGGUAACCUUUUGGAGCCAGCCGCCUAAGGUGGGACAGAUGAUUGGGGUGAAGUCGUAACAAGGUA